GGCGUGCUGAAGAAGCUCCGCCUCCGCAUGGGCGGAGCCUCGGUUCGGGGCGUGCUGAAGACGCUCCUCCUCCGCGAGAUCGACCAUCCGUGUUUGUGUUGACGGUGGCGCGCGCGACCUGCUUCGCGGCAACCCUUGGUGACGGUGACGGGACGUUGGAAUCACUUCUUUUGGAACAUUUUGAAAACGUUGAACGUAAAACGCUUUAAUUUUUCUGUCAGGACAACAUGGAAGUACAGCCAAAUCUUUGCAGAGAUCUGUUCAAGGAUUUGAAAGAGCAACAAAGUUAUGACAAUGAUGUCACCCUUGCCCGACUGGAGGAUCUUUGUGAUGUUUCAUCCUUGCCAGACACAAGUCAUUAUCACAUUGCAGAGGCUUUUGAAGAGAUGGAGGGAACAAGUGAGGAACUUGUGGAUAAUGAUGGAAUUAAAUUCCUCCUGAGCCUGCUGCAGCACCUGGGAACAGAUAUUAAAGAGGAUGAUGAGGAAAGCUGUGGGGUGCAGCGCCUCGCACUGGGCCUGUUGCAGUGCUUGAGUAGCACCCCCUGGCUGCAUGAAGCACUCAUUAAAGAACAGGCUGAAAUGGUCCUCACUCCAGUUCGUGACAACCAUUCAGAUGAGACAUGCCAACAUCAAGCAAGCCUUAUACUUGACAAGAUGGAAGAGAUUUCCAAGUGUGACCCCAUGGAGAGAAAAAGAGUUGACUUUGACAAGCCCAGGGUGGCUCUGAGAAGACUACCAGGGUACCAUGCUUCUGAUGCUGCUCGUCAUCAGGUGACAAAUUUGUGUGCCAGUCUUCUGGACGAUCUAUGGAAACAGAAAACGUAUGCGGACAGGCUCACAGAAAACCGGCUUUCAGAUCUCAACCAGCUUGUCACAAUGUUGGGAGCUGACCGUCAAGAACUGCAGAAAAUCUUCAAGUCGCGCAAGGCUUAUGGUCGGUAAUUCUUCAUCAGGCUGCACAAAAUGACUUGCUUGUUUUGUUUCUUUGUACAACACUGAAGCUUGUGUAGCAGUGUAAAUAAUGACUGCAAAAUCAUUGUAUGAAUUGAACCUAAAUUUAAUAGCAAACAAAAGGGCAACGGCAUGGAAGCCUUUCAAUCAGGAGGAGACCUGUCAAGCCUGAUGACACACACAACCAAGUGUUCGAGGAGGGCUCCUCCCCCCUCGACCACAAGACCAGGCUAAAAUUCACAAACUUGGAGUAACCAUCAAUAACAACAACAAUUUCAAUAGGUAAAAUCAACAACUGUAAUUAAUUGUAUGAAAAAAUGUCUCAUCGAGAAUAGUAGAAACUGUAAGCAGUACCAGAGAGCCCAGCAUGUACCUGGGAACACGAACAACACAUGGCUACCAAAAACAUCACAGCAGCUGAAGUGACUCGUCACUCUCCAAUGGCAAACAUAUAAUAUAUAUA
Molecule: long non-coding RNA, 1416 nt
Filed under: Eptatretus burgeri (inshore hagfish)
Lineage: Eukaryota; Metazoa; Chordata; Myxini; Myxiniformes; Myxinidae
Description: lncRNA (ENSEBUG00000017256.1)
Source: RNAcentral